UCACUUCUGGAUGGUCCCGCGGCGUAUUAGCUAGAUGGUGGGGUAACGGCUCACCAUGGCAAUGAUACGUAGCCGACCUGAGAGGGUAAUCGGCCACAUUGGGACUGAGACACGGCCCAAACUCCUACGGGAGGCAGCAGUAGGGAAUCUUCCACAAUGGACGAAAGUCUGAUGGAGCAACGCCGCGUGAGUGAAGAAGGGUUUCGGCUCGUAAAACUCUGUUGUUAAAGAAGAACAUAUCUGAGAGUAACUGUUCAGGUAUUGACGGUAUUUAACCAGAAAGCCACGGCUAACUACGUGCCAGCAGCCGCGGUAAUACGUAGGUGGCAAGCGUUGUCCGGAUUUAUUGGGCGUAAAGCGAGCGCAGGCGGCUUUUUAAGUCUGAUGUGAAAGCCUUCGGCUCGACCGAAGAAGUGCUUCUGAAACUGGGAAACUUGAGUUGUAGAACAGGACCGUGGACCCUCCUUGUUUAGGCGGUGAAAUGUCGUCGAUAU
RNAcentral lists this ribosomal RNA (494 nucleotides) under bacterium Monkoyo13. Its description in RNAcentral is "bacterial SSU rRNA". It matches the Rfam family "Bacterial small subunit ribosomal RNA", at positions 215 to 697 of the family's 1533-position model. The record is from RNAcentral.